AGGCAGCAGUGGGGAAUUUUCCGCAAUGGGCGAAAGCCUGACGGAAGCAAUGCCGCGUGAGUGAUGAAGGCCUUUGGGUUGUAAAGCUCUUUUUUCAGGGAAGAAUACCUGACGUGUACUAC
Molecule: ribosomal RNA, 122 nt
Filed under: uncultured eukaryote
Lineage: Eukaryota
Description: partial 16S ribosomal RNA
Rfam family: Bacterial small subunit ribosomal RNA
Source: RNAcentral